Molecule: ribosomal RNA, 252 nt
Filed under: uncultured bacterium
Lineage: Bacteria
Description: partial 16S ribosomal RNA
Rfam family: Bacterial small subunit ribosomal RNA
Source: RNAcentral
GACAGAGGAUGCAAGCGUUAUCCGGAAUGAUUGGGCGUAAAGCGUCUGUAGGUGGCUUUUAAGUCCGCCGUCAAAUCCCAGGGCUCAACCCUGGACAGGCGGUGGAAACUACCAAGCUGGAGUACGGUAGGGGCAGAGGGAAUUUCCGGUGGAGCGGUGAAAUGCGUAGAGAUCGGGAGGAACACCAGUGGCGAAGGCGGCUACCUGGACCAGCAUUGACACUCAAGCACGAAAGCGUGGGGAGCAAACAGG